RNAcentral lists this ribosomal RNA (527 nucleotides) under uncultured bacterium. Its description in RNAcentral is "bacterial SSU rRNA". It matches the Rfam family "Bacterial small subunit ribosomal RNA", at positions 777 to 1302 of the family's 1533-position model. The record is from RNAcentral.
AAUAGAUACCCUGGUAGUCCACGCCGUAAACGAUGAGUGCUAAGUGUUAGAGGGUUUCCGCCCUUUAGUGCUGCAGCUAACGCAUUAAGCACUCCGCCUGGGGAGUACGGUCGCAAGACUGAAACUCAAAGGAAUUGACGGGGGCCCGCACAAGCGAUGGAGCAUGUGGUUUAAUUCGAAGCAACGCGAAGAACCUUACCAGGUCUUGACAUCCCACUGACCGGUAUAGAGAUAUACCUUUCCCUUCGGGGACAGUGGUGACAGGUGGUGCAUGGUUGUCGUCAGCUCGUGUCGUGAGAUGUUGGGUUAAGUCCCGCAACGAGCGCAACCCUUGAUCUUAGUUGCCAGCAUUUAGUUGGGCACUCUAAGGUGACUGCCGGUGACAAACCGGAGGAAGGUGGGGAUGACGUCAAAUCAUCAUGCCCCUUAUGACCUGGGCUACACACGUGCUACAAUGGAUGGUACAAAGGGCUGCAAGACUGCGAAGUCAAGCCAAUCCCAUAAAACCAUUCUCAGUUCGGAUUGCG